GUCCCGGUAGCUCAAUUGGUAGAGCAGCGGCCUUUUAAGCCGUUGGUUGUGGGUUCGAGUCCCACCCGGGACA
This 73-nucleotide transfer RNA is filed under the name bacterium. RNAcentral describes it as "tRNA-Lys". It matches the Rfam family "tRNA". Rfam says of the family: Transfer RNA (tRNA) molecules are approximately 80 nucleotides in length. The record is from RNAcentral.